ACAGACAUUAUCAUAAAUAUCUAAAGGCGAGUAAAAUGGAGGCAAGUUUAAACAACAAAUUUCAACCCAUUUCAUAAUGUUUCCAAUUUAUUUCUUAAACCAUAAAAUAUUUGUAAUUUACCAAAACAGUUGUUAAGGCUUAUGUCUUUUAUUAAAACAAGGCUCAAGCCAAAACUAAUCCUCGGGGAUACCUUGGCCGAGGUAUCUAACCGAGUCCGUCAAGGGUGUUAAAAUAUUCAAACGUGAAACACAUUUUUUUUUUUAAAACCAGCCGUUCCUUGGCGUUGGCCGAGUUACACAUUCACGUGGGGGUUCGAAGUGAAGUGAGCUCUAAUACUACCUCGGGAGUUACCCUCCUCGCCUCUACAACCGGAGUAACUAUAUAAUUGGGUUUACCGUGCCCCUCUAAUAGGCAGUCCACGGAAACCCGUCACUGCAGUGACUAACCCACCAAUUUUAAUAAAAUUUCGACAGUAUAACGUGGCUUUUAUUUAUUUAUCCAGCCUGCAUAGUAAAACCAACUUACAUAAAUUUCCCAAAUGCACUCACAAAAUAUAGCCACAUAUACUCAUUUCUCAUAAGCCAUUCCUAGGAAAAUAUAUAUUUUUCAAGUCAAUUUGCAGCCUCCAAUUACU
Molecule: long non-coding RNA, 635 nt
Filed under: Theobroma cacao (cacao)
Lineage: Eukaryota; Viridiplantae; Streptophyta; Magnoliopsida; Malvales; Malvaceae
Description: long non-coding RNA (TCAC_LNC005354)
Source: RNAcentral